GACGAACGCUGGCGGCGUGCCUAAUACAUGCCAGUUGAGCGCUGAAGGUUGGUACUUGUACCGACUGGAUGAGCAGCGAACGGGUGAGUAACGCGUGGGUAACCUGCCUUUGAGCGGGGGACAACAUUUGGAAACGAAUGCUAAUACCGCAUAAAAACUUUAAACACAAGUUUUAAGUUUGAAAGAUGCAAUUGCAUCACCUAAAGAUGAUCCCGCGUUGUAUUAGCUAGUUGGUGAGGUAAAGGCUCAACAAGGCGAUGAUACAUAGGCGACCUGAGAGGGGGGACGGCCAAAUCGGGAAUUGGAAACGGCCCAAAAUUCUAAGGGAGGCAGCAGUAGGGAAUCUUCGGCAAUGGGGGAAAGUCUGACCGAGCAACGCCGGGGGAGUGGAGGAGGGUUUCGGAUCGGAAAACUCCGUUGAUAGGGAAGAACGUUGGGGAGAGUGGAAAGCUCAUAAAGUGACGGUACCUACCCAGAAAGGGACGGCUAACUACGUG
Molecule: ribosomal RNA, 497 nt
Filed under: uncultured bacterium
Lineage: Bacteria
Description: partial 16S ribosomal RNA
Rfam family: Bacterial small subunit ribosomal RNA
Source: RNAcentral